GCAUAUCAAUAAGCGGAGGAAAAGAAACCAACAGGGAUUGCCUUAGUAACGGCGAGUGAAGCGGCAACAGCUCAAAUUUGAAAUCUGGCCUCUUUGGGGUCCGAGUUGUAAUUUGCAGAGGGCGCUUUGGUGUCGGCAGCGGUCCAAGUUCCUUGGAACAGGACGUCACAGAGGGUGAGAAUCCCGUACGUGGUCGCUAGCCUUCACCGUGUAAAGCCCCUUCGACGAGUCGAGUUGUUUGGGAAUGCAGCUCUAAAUGGGAGGUAAAUUUCUUCUAAAGCUAAAUACUGGCCAGAGACCGAUAGCGCACAAGUAGAGUGAUCGAAAGAUGAAAAGCACUUUGGAAAGAGAGUCAAACAGCACGUGAAAUUGUUGAAAGGGAAGCGCUUGCAGCCAGACUUGCCUGUAGUUGCUCAUCCGGACUUUUGUCCGGUGCACUCUUCUAUGGGCAGGCCAGCAUCAGUUUGGGCGGUUGGAUAAAGGUCUCUGUCAUGUACCUCUCUUCGGGGAGGACUUAUAGGGGAGGCGACAUGCAACCAGCCCAGACUGAGGUCCGCGCAUUUAUGCUAGGAUGCUGGCGUAAUGGCUGUAAGCGGCCCGUCUUGAAACACGGACCAAGGAGUCUAACAUCUAUGCGAGUGUUUGGGUGUCAAGCCCGAGCGCGCAAUGAAAGUGAACGGAGGUGGGAACCCCUCGGGGCGCACCAUCGACCGAUCCUGAUGUCUUCGGAUGGAUUUGAGUAAGAGCAUAGCUGUUGGGACCCGAAAGAUGGUGAACUAUGCUUGAAUAGGGUGAAGCCAGAGGAAACUCUGGUGGAGGCUCGCAGCGGUUCUGACGUGCAAAUCGAUCGUCAAAUUUGGGCAUAGGGGCGAAAGACUAAUCGAACUAUCUAGUAGCUGGUUCCUGCCGA
RNAcentral lists this ribosomal RNA (910 nucleotides) under Dothidotthia negundinicola. RNAcentral describes it as "partial 28S ribosomal RNA". It matches the Rfam family "Eukaryotic large subunit ribosomal RNA", at positions 38 to 964 of the family's 3401-position model. The record is from RNAcentral. Lineage: Eukaryota; Fungi; Ascomycota; Dothideomycetes; Pleosporales; Dothidotthiaceae.